This is a long non-coding RNA of Mauremys reevesii (Reeves's turtle), 479 nucleotides long. RefSeq lists it as uncharacterized. The record is from RefSeq and is a predicted model, not a curated record. The transcript is spliced from 3 exons. Lineage: Eukaryota; Metazoa; Chordata; Testudines; Geoemydidae.
GGGUUAAGAGCCUGAGGCUGGUACCCACCCACCCACCUGAGGAUGCUGUUACCAGGGGCAACCUCCAGCCUCUGACGUUAGCUGGGGAGCAGGGAGGCUGGAGAUGGCGACUUGGCAUGGUAACCCGGGCAACGUGCCCGGCAACUUGGCAUGGUAACCCAGGCAACGUGCCCGGCAACUUGCAUGAGCUCCUUCCCCAGGGCCUCACUCAACCACCAAUGAAAUGCUGCCAUCUCUGGGGUGGAACGUGACGGCCGUUCUGUACGAGGUUCCCACACCGAAUAGCCCAUCUCCCGUUCAGGCCGGGAUGCGAGAAGGGCAGAGACAGGCAGUUGACACCGUAACAAAAAACACGGUGGGCGUCGGUGAGAGAGACAGCUGGUACAUUCCACGGCAAACCCCCAACAGCCCGGGCAUCCCUCCUGCCUUCGAAAAUGCCACCACCGAGCGGGGCAGCCCCGGAUUUGCAUACGCCCCAG